GAUGAAGAACGCAGCGAAAUGCGAUAAGUAAUGUGAAUUGCAGAAUUCAGUGAAUCAUCGAAUCUUUGAACGCACAUUGCGCCCGCCAGUAUUCUGGCGGGCAUGCCUGUUCGAGCGUCAUUUCAACCAUCAAGCCCCCCGGCUUGUGUUGGGGACCUGUGGCUGCCGCAGGCCCUGAAAAGCAGUGGCGGGCUCGCUGUCACACCGAGCGUAGUAGAUCUCAUCUCGCUCAGGGCGUGCUGCGGGUUCCGGCCGUUAAACCACCUUCAUAACCCAAGGUUGACCUCGGAUCAGGUAGGAAGACCCGCUGAACUUAAGCAUAUCAAUAAGCGGAGGA
This 337-nucleotide unclassified non-coding RNA is filed under the name soil metagenome. RNAcentral's name for it is "partial contains 5.8S ribosomal RNA, internal transcribed spacer 2, and large subunit ribosomal RNA". The stretch from base 1 to 120 matches the Rfam family "5.8S ribosomal RNA", at positions 35 to 154 of the family's 154-position model. The record is from RNAcentral.